Long non-coding RNA from Trichechus manatus latirostris (Florida manatee), 2702 nucleotides. RefSeq lists it as uncharacterized. The transcript has 3 exons. NCBI's taxonomy places the organism in Eukaryota, Metazoa, Chordata, Mammalia, Sirenia, Trichechidae. The record is from RefSeq and is a predicted model, not a curated record.
AAAACAAUGGCCCCGGCCGUAAGCAAUGAAUACAAGUUUUGUUUUGGAGGGUUUAGUGUGUACUUUCUUUCUUUUUUUUUAUUUCCCUUGGCUGGGAAAGGAUUGAAUUUUGGCGGGGUUGGAUCGCCUGGGAUUUCAAGUUUGCAGACCUUGAGCAGUGCAUAAGAAUCAAUUGGGUAUGUAAUGUGUGCCAAACCAAAAACCCAUUGCCGUCAAAUUGAUUGACUCAUAGCAACCCUGUAGGACAGAGUCGAACUGCCCCACAGGGUUGCCAAAGCUGUAAAUACUUACGGAAGCAGAGCGGCUAGUGGGUUAGAAUCUGCGACCUUUUAGUUAGCAGCUGAUCCUUAGCUUAACCACUGUUCCACCAGGGCUUAUAAUACAGGAUAAAACAUUUAAAAGUCAUGGGGGAUGAGUGGAGAGGGAGAGAACGCAACGGGCAUCUAGGUAUAGAGCAUUACGUGUGGUUUUGAGAAAUUCGGGAAAAGAUAAGGAAUAAAAAUAAAAGUGCUGGCAUCUGAGUCAUUAACACCUUAGGGAUCCAUUUGUCUUUCUAGGAUGCUAAAAAGUAAUAUGUGUGAAAUUUCAAAAACGUCAAACACACACCUCCUGUAGAGACUUGUUGCAAUUUCUCUUGCAGAAGAAAUUUUAAAGUAAUUAAAAAAAGAUGUGUGGAUGAGGGAGAUGGAUUCUUUGGGUACCUCUUCAAACGCAUUCUUGGACCUUGUCCCGUAAUUAGAGUGACAAUCUGCAGGAGGAGAACCCGAGAUUCUACAUUUUAGUGGAUUUAACAGGGGGUCAAGACCACCCUUUCAGAAGCACCGCCUUGUGGGGGACGCAGCUUUGGGGUAACACAGCCGAGCCCUGGCAGCCACCGAAAACUAAAGGAAGGAACCAAGGGGAGAAAAUAAUGCUCAACGUUCUACCACCUGUAUCACUUUUUUAAAUUAACAAUCAGAAAACAACAGCCCUAAGUGUCGAGACCGACCUAGCAAGCUGAUUUCCCUUCCAGUUCAAACCCGCAGAAAUGUCCUGCCAGCCGGGAUGCCUACGAAACUACGCAGAAAACAAACAGACCGACUUUUCACCGAACAGUUGAGUGUUGCUGUCCUGACACACAGGAUACCGAGAUUUGAAAGUCGCUCCCAAAGGGACUUACAGUUUCCCCUCAAGUUGUGCUAUUUUCCCCUGAGAUUCCUGAAGAUUCCUUUGGGUGACCUGCAGCUUCAUCUCCAUACCUUCUUGUUUAGCCAUCAUACUCUACACAACAGAGAUAUAUGUUUUAGGAGGUGAGAAAAUGUUCAGAUGCCUAGAUCCAGACUCAGCAAAUUCACCAAAGCUUCCAGAUCCUGGAUCCGCUUGUCCUGAGCACCACGUUCUUGCACAAGAACACGAAUCUGGAUGAAAACAAGGUGAUAAAUAAAUGAUUUACAGAUAAUAAUGCCAACAUAAAUAGAUGAUAUUGAUAAUUAAAAUGUGAAAGCUUCUAAGUAUCUGAUUUUUACAUUAUGCCCUUAUACAGUCUAAUUUUACUAGCCGUUUGGACAAUCGUAACAAUCUUAUGAUACAUCUUAAAAUAUGUUUGCAUUUUAAAACAGAAAGAUUUGAAUUGCCAUAAACUUCCAGGUGCAACUAAGAUGUGUAUUCACUUUAAGGUAGUUCUAACUAAGAGUUCUUGUUUUCUAUAGUUUUAAUUACAUAAAUUCAAAUUAAAGUUUGAAAUAUUAAACUUUUUUUUUUCAAGACGGCAGAGCUAGACGUCUGGGUAGACUUCAGUAGGCAUCAGCAAUCCCUCCUACUGCUACCAUUAGGAAAAAAUAAACUACAAAAAAAAAAUUCUUAAACACAUCGGAUAUUUGUGAAGAAGGACUAGAUCAACUAAAACUCCAGAGAGAAAAAGAACCCUUCCUAAGAGAGUCAAGAUCUCCAAAUGUUUAGUCUCCAGGUUUUUCAAACUGUUAGCUGGAGGUUCAAGUCCAGCCAGAGGAGCCCUAGAAGAAAGGCCCGGAGAGCUACUUCCAAGAAAUAAGCCACUGAAAAUUCUGUGGAGCACAGCUCUACUCUGAGACACAUGGAGUCACCAUGAGUUGGAAUUCACGCCAUAGCAACUGGUAUGUUUAUAAGAUAUGCACUUCAAAUAUAUGAAUACAGAUAGAUUGACAAUGAGAGAAUCAAAAAUGAUUUACCAUGCAAAUACUAACCAAAAGAAAACUGGUGUGACUGCAUUAACAUCAUACAAAGUAGAUUUUAAGGCAAAAAGUAUUUAUAGUGAUAUAGAGGGAAUUUUAAAAUGAUGAAAAGGUAAAUUGAAUCGGACGACAUAAUCUUAAAUUUAUUGUGCACCUAACAAUGACAAUGCAAAGCAAAAACUGACAGACUAAUCCACAAUCAGAGAUGGCGAAUUAAACACACCUUUCUCAGUAAUUAAAAGACAAAAAUAUCAAUGCAGAUAAAAAAGAUCUGAACAGAACUUUUAACUAACCUAAACUAAUUGAGGUAAAAUACUACACCCAACAAGUACACAUUCUUUUCAAGUGCAUGUAGAACAUUGACCAAAAUAGGCUAUUUAUUUGCUGAGCUAUAAACCAAGUCUCAAGAAAGCAUCACUGUAUUAAGUAAGAUGAAAAAGUUUGUUGUUGUUAGGGGCCAUCAAGUCGGUUCUGACUCAGUGACCCUGGAUACAACCGAACAAAACACUGUCU